Molecule: ribosomal RNA, 430 nt
Filed under: uncultured archaeon
Lineage: Archaea
Description: bacterial SSU rRNA
Rfam family: Archaeal small subunit ribosomal RNA
Source: RNAcentral
GGCUUCGGGGAGGUACUGCCAGACUUGGAACCGGGAGAGGUAAGAGGUACUACAGGGGUAGGAGUGAAAUCUUGUAAUCCCGUGUGGGACCACCUGUGGCGAAGGCGUCUACCAGAACGGGUUCGACGGUGAGGGACGAAAGCUGGGGGCACGAACCGGAUUAGAUACCCGGGUAGUCCCAGCCGUAAACGAUGCUCGCUAGGUGUCAGGCAUGGCGCGACCGUGUCUGGUGCCGCAGGGAAGCCGUGAAGCGAGCCACCUGGGAAGUACGGCCGCAAGGCUGAAACUUAAAGGAAUUGGCGGGGGAGCACAACAACGGGUGGAGCCCUGCGGUUUAAUUGGACUCAACGCCGGACAACUCACCGGGGGCGACAGCAAUAUGUAGGCCAAGCUGAAGACUUUGCCUGAAUCGCUGAGAGGUGGUGCAUGG